CGUUGGGAGCUCUCCCAUAUGGUCGACCUGCAGGCGGCCGCGAAUUCACUAGUGAUUCGUAUUACCGCGGCUGCUGGCACAGAGUUAGCCGGUGCUUAUUCUGUCGGUAACGUCAAAACAGCAAGGUAUUCGCUUACUGCCCUUCCUCCCAACUUAAAGUGCUUUACAAUCCGAAGACCUUCUUCACUCACGCGGCAUUGCUGGAUCAGGCUUGCGCCCAUUGUCCAAUAUUCCCCACUGCUGCCUCCCGUAGGAGUCUGGGCCGUGUCUCAGUCCCAGUGUGGCUGAUCAUCCUCUCAGACCAGCUAAGGAUCGUCGGCUUGGUAGGCCUUUACCCCACCAACUACCUAAUCCUACGCGGGCUCAUCCCUGGCCGAUAAAUCUUUGGUCCGAAGACAUCAUCCGGUAUUAGCAGUCAUUUCUAACUGUUAUUCCGAAGCCAAGGGCAGAUUCCCACGCGUUACGCACCCGUGCGCCACUAACCCCGAAGGGUUCGUUCGACUUGCAUGUGUUAGGCAUGCCGCCAGCGUUCGUUCUGAGCCAUGAUCAAACUCUAAUCGAAUUCCCGCGGCCGCCAUGGAGGCCGGGAGCAUG
RNAcentral lists this ribosomal RNA (594 nucleotides) under uncultured Alphaproteobacteria bacterium. RNAcentral's name for it is "partial 16S ribosomal RNA". The record is from RNAcentral. Lineage: Bacteria; Pseudomonadati; Pseudomonadota; Alphaproteobacteria.